AGUGGAAUUGCUGGAUAAUAUGGUAAUUCUACAUUUAAUUUUUUGAGGAAUUGUCAUACUCUUUUCCAUAGCAGCUACACCAUUUUAUAUUCCCACCAACUGU
RNAcentral lists this microRNA precursor (103 nucleotides) under Marmota monax (woodchuck). The record is from RNAcentral. Lineage: Eukaryota; Metazoa; Chordata; Mammalia; Rodentia; Sciuridae.